This 2853-nucleotide long non-coding RNA is filed under the name Paramuricea clavata. The record is from RNAcentral. Lineage: Eukaryota; Metazoa; Cnidaria; Anthozoa; Malacalcyonacea; Plexauridae.
CACCGAACCGCCCCUUAAUAUAGCAGAGGUCCACCCCAUAUAUCGAGCGUGAUGUUUUGUAUUUGAAUUUUUGGCGAGAAGUGUGUCAGCUGCUUUGCCGAUUUUUUGUAUAAUUUUAUGUUUAUAUGAAGUCUCUUUUAUUUGGUGAACUAAAUGGAUCGUAUUUUCGUAAUAAAGCUUAAUAUUUGGUGAGUGUUUUUAUAUAUUGUAGCGAUUUGUUUACCUUCAAUUGAUUGUGAUUUGUGAUAGAUUUGGUCGCAAAAUUAAUAUAGACAUCAUAGACCGAGCCAUAGACGCGUAUAAAGUCUAUUUAAUACCGACCAAAUCCUUCGUAUUACAGAUGAUAUUUUUCAUAAUAGUUUUCUAAAUGACAGUAUAUUUGUUAUUAUAUUUUAGACCAGAGUUUUGAGCGGAGAAUCUUGCUAUAUUAAGUAUGAUAUUCAAGUUAUGCAUCUUUAAUUUGUAAUAUACAGAAUACAGUAGACUGAAUUUCUGUCUUUUGUAUAAUCAUUCGGCCAGGCCGUAUAUCAUAAACAGUAAUCUAUCUAUCUAAAUGAAAAUGUUAUGCCAAUUCUUUGCCAAUAUUAAAACAUUUAUUAUACAAGGUUAAGGUUAUAUUUAAAAUCAAAAUGAGCACAAGCAAGGCAAAACUUGCUGAUCAAUUUAUAAUAUUAACCAAAUUAUCUGCCAAUGAUAAAGUCUGCCUAAUUGUCAAUUGUUAAAGCUGUUUAUAUCAACCCUGUUCGGCUUUAUAAUAAUUUUGUAUACAAAAUAAUUUCACUUCACAUGAAAACUGGGCUAGCAUGUUUAGCUGGUACCGGUAGCCUGGUAUCUCACUUUCAAGACUCGAACAGGGUUCCCGGUCAGCCGGUUGUCCAUGAUGUAAACUUUUCCCAAUAUUUGCUUGUGAACAUUUUUGCCUCCAGGGCAUACAUCUCAUUCCAGCUAGUAGCAAUUAUGUAAACAGCUGCAAUAUGCCCAAAUGCACCCUACUUUAAUAUUUUACUCUGUCUAAUGCCAGACAAUUUUACUCAUCAAACAAAUUAAUGAGUGAAUAUAUUUUUACAUGAACCUUGAACGCCUACUUUCAUAGAGUUCAGUUUCCUAGCCACAUGAGUAACUUUCUUUGAUGGGAUAGGGAUACCAUUUGUUUGUGUGAACCGAGUAUGUUAUUGUAUUUUUUAGUACCUGUGCAAUGCAUUUUAAUACCUUAACCCUUUAAGUGGCAAUGCGCCCUACUUUAUUAUUUUACUCUGUCUAACACCAGACUAGUUUAAUACUCUUUCUAAUGCCUGAUGACCUUACUCAUCAGGGGGAGAGUGCUGCCACUCAAUGGGUUAAACCUUUGUUUGGUCUGACUCCAUGAUGCAUUUUGACCUUACUAAACUCAAUUGAGUUUACAUCGGACAUUUGCAAAUACUUUUCUCAACCAUUACAAUGUUUUUUUUUUAUUAAAGGGGAAAAUAAACUAUUUAAUAGCCUCUAUCUGUACAUAUAAUAUGAUCUAAUUAUUAUGAUAUAAAUGAUCCAAUUAUUAUGCUAUUCCAUGCCUAUAUUAUUGACCGACAUUUUUAAUGAAUACCAGUGAGCUAAAACUUGCCUUGUGCCAAAGGGGUCUGCUUAUAGCCCCGAAACAUGUUUCCCCCAACAAUUUUUAAAAUUUUAAUACUCGUAAGAUAAUUUAUCUGACCGUGACUUUAAUCUUGAACUGUCUGUGCCAGUAGGUAGUGGCAAUAUAACCAAAGCUUUCAUUGGUAGGAAUGCAACUGGCUGAAAAUAUUAGGAGAAACUCAACGUUUUGAGCGAAUUAAGUCCUUCAUCGGAAGUUAGUCAAAGGCAACAAAGGGCCUUUGCUCAAAACAUUGAGUUUCUCCUAUACCAACGAAAACCUUGUUCAUGAAUCUGACUUCGCCAAGAUAUUGCUUUUUACCAAAUUACUGACAUCCAAUAUUGCAUUGCACUCUUGAUGUUAACACACUAAAUACUUAUCAGUUAUGUAAUUGUUUACAUAAAUACAUAAACAAAAUCCUGUAUAGAUAUGAUAUACUUUUGAAAUAAAUGUUUUCUGAUAUUGUUCUGGAGGUUAGCACUUGGCAUGUGGGCUGCAUUGUAGAAGUGCUGGACUUAGGAUUGCAGUUGCACUUUUUACAAUGAUUUUCAUAAUUUUUUCCCUCUCAAAAUCUGUCCAGGAAACUUCAUUAAUAGUUUUGUUACUAUUUUGUUUACAGUUGCAAAAAGUCCAACUAUAGGCCCUCUGGUAGGAAUGGAACCUGUAGCCCAUGAUGUUGCAGCUAUAGCUUGACAACUGAAACCCUCAACCUGAUGAGACAUCCAUGGUGGCAGAAAACCAAGUCUUGUGAGUCUUCGGGAUUGCUUGAUGCACUGGAAUCUAUGAUGCUGCUUUUUGCUGCUGAGUGUUUUAAUACAUUCUUAUUUCUACAAAGGCAAGUCAUGAAGGUGCACGGCACACAAAAGAUGCCGACCCAAGGUGUUGGUUCUAUUGUCAGACAUUGAAAAAAUGUGAACUUGCUAACUUCCUGGACUUAUAACCCACUUGGUAACAGUGUAAAUUUUUCUAUUAAUAUUAAGUUACUUAUGUUAUAAAUAUGUAUAUACCCUGUGCAUAUAUGAAAUUCUCUUGGUUGAAGCAAGGAAAGAAUUCAAUAUAUUUGUUGCGUUGAGGGACAUGUUUGUGUCCAAUUCACUCUUUCGAAUGUUUCCAAGUGUCUUGAAAGAAUGAAUUGGAAAACAUAUCUUUCAAAGCAACAAGUUAUUUUAUAUAUAAGUAAUAAAGUUAGCUUUUCUACAUGUAUUUCUUGCUAAGAAACUGCAUGCCAUUUCAAAUAAGUGUGC